UCUUCAUUUCACGCGCUCUCUCGCAGGUCAGAGAGGCGAGAGAGUGUGUGAAAUGAAGAGA
This is a non-coding RNA of Pristionchus pacificus, 61 nucleotides long. Lineage: Eukaryota; Metazoa; Nematoda; Chromadorea; Rhabditida; Neodiplogasteridae. The record is from Rfam.